GACGAACGCUGGCGGCGUGCCUAACACAUGCAAGUCGAGCGGAGAUAGACUGGUGGUAACUGAAGUUUGUCUUAGCGGCGGACGGGUGAGUAACACGUGGGCAACCUGCCUUGGAGUGGGGGAUAACACCGGGAAAUCGGUGCUAAUACCGCAUAACAUACACAAACUGCAUGGUAAGUGUAUCAAAGGAGCAAUCCGCUUUAAGAUGGGCCCGCGGCUGAUUAGCUAGUUGGUAAGGUAACGGCUUACCAAGGCGACGAUCAGUAGCCGACCUGAGAGGGUGACCGGCCACACUGGAACUGAGACACGGUCCAGACUCCUACGGGAGGCAGCAGUGGGGAAUAUUGCGCAAUGGGGGAAACCCUGACGCAGCAACGCCGCGUGGAGGAAGAAGGUCUUCGGAUUGUAAACUCCUGUCUUCUGGGACGAAGUAUGACGGUACCAGAGGAGGAAGCCACGGCUAACUACGUG
RNAcentral lists this ribosomal RNA (471 nucleotides) under uncultured bacterium. Its description in RNAcentral is "bacterial SSU rRNA". It matches the Rfam family "Bacterial small subunit ribosomal RNA", at positions 28 to 507 of the family's 1533-position model. The record is from RNAcentral.